Molecule: long non-coding RNA, 588 nt
Filed under: Mytilus galloprovincialis (Mediterranean mussel)
Lineage: Eukaryota; Metazoa; Mollusca; Bivalvia; Mytilida; Mytilidae
Source: RNAcentral
CCGAUAAUGACGAGAAAAGAACUUUCCCUCAGAUCAAUUAAAUGCACCUUACUCAAAUAAUUACGGCCACAAAAUCGAAACUACCAUUCUGUAGCUAAACUGUUUAAUUAAAUAAUAGUUUUAAAGUCUUUCGCCGGAUUAAGAAGUCGUGCAACACAACAAGCGCAAUGGAUCUCGAUUGCUGGAUUCCCUUUAUAGGCCCUAUAUAUUUGAUUUGAAUGCCCCCGAAGACUUCCGUUAGCUAUUUGGCAACGAUAAAGUCCGAGAAUAAACUGGACCCCUGCUGUUGUUUCACUGUUAUCGGGUGCCGAAGUAUCAAUCAGCGGGUGACCAGUUUAGUCCGAGAACUCGUGUGUACAAUGAUGUUCUCGAUUCAACUACGGAAUCGUCAUUUGACAUUGACUGUGAAUCUGAAUUGGUCAGUGAAUUAACGGAUGAGAAAAUAAUUAUAAAAAGCAAAAUCGCUCCACGUCGGACAUCUCCCAACGACGAGCGUGAUUGACGGAGUGGCGUUUGAUUUAUAAACAAAAAUGUAGCAAAACGUCUUUCUUCAUCUUCUUUAAUUUUUACAUUUACAUCUAAAUCAAC